AAGUCCCCAGCAAGUCAUUCAGGACGCAGAGAGGCUAGUAAAUGAGGUGAAUGAGGCGCUAUGGAAACAGGAAAGAUUGCUGCACGAUUUUGAGAAGAACGUCACCCAGGAAGGACACGUGACCGAGGAAAAGAAAGCUGAAAGAAAAAUGUUGGAAAGGAAUGAAUUAUGAAUUGCCUGAGAGGCCUAAAAAAUACUUUAGUUUUGUUUGUUGCGACAUGGAGGUCGACUUUUGUUUGCUGUUGCGACGUGAAGGUCGCCUUUUGUAUCUUGUUACGACACGGAGGUCAACUUUAGUUCGUUAUGACAUGGAGGUCAACUUUAGUUCGUUAUGACACGGAGGUCAACUUUAGUUCGUUAUGACAUGGAGGUCAAGUUUAGUUCGUUAUGACAUGGAGGUCAACUUUAGUUCGUUAU
Scylla paramamosain (green mud crab) is the source of this 417-nucleotide long non-coding RNA. RefSeq lists it as uncharacterized. The transcript is spliced from 3 exons. The record is from RefSeq and is a predicted model, not a curated record. NCBI's taxonomy places the organism in Eukaryota, Metazoa, Arthropoda, Malacostraca, Decapoda, Portunidae.